AGCAGCCGCGGUAAUUCCAGCUCCAAUAGCGUAUAUUAAAGUUGUUGCAGUUAAAAAGCUCGUAGUUGAAUUUCGGGAUCAAUUAAUUGGUCGUGCCUCUGGUACGUACUGAUUUUAUUGGUUUCUCCCUUCUGACGAACCAUGAUGUCAUUAAUUUGAUGUCGUGGAGAAUCAGGACUGUUACUUUGAAAAAAUUAGAGUGUUUAAAGCAAGCUAACGCUUGAAUACAUUAGCAUGGAAUAAUGAAAUAGGACGUUUGAUCCUACUUUGUUGGUUUCUAGGAUCGACGUAAUGAUUAAUAGGGAUAGUUGGGGGCAUUAGUAUUCAAUUGUCAGAGGUGAAAUUCUUGGAUUUAUUGAAGACUAACUACUGCGAAAGCAUUUGCCAAGGAUGUUUUCAUUAAUCAAGAACGAAAGUUAGGGGAUCGAAGACGAUCAGAUACCGUCGUAGUCCUAACCAUAAACUAUGCC
Molecule: ribosomal RNA, 470 nt
Filed under: uncultured Glomus
Lineage: Eukaryota; Fungi; Glomeromycota; Glomeromycetes; Glomerales; Glomeraceae
Description: SSU rRNA
Rfam family: Eukaryotic small subunit ribosomal RNA
Source: RNAcentral